RNAcentral lists this non-coding RNA (28 nucleotides) under Mus musculus (house mouse). Lineage: Eukaryota; Metazoa; Chordata; Mammalia; Rodentia; Muridae. The record is from RNAcentral.
UUCUCAACAGCCUUUAUUGCAGGGACGC